UCACCCAACGGUUUUUAACUUGUAACUAAGAAGUAAAAGCCAUCGUAAAAUCUGCAAACAGCCAAAUCAGAGAAAAAGCAAAGAUAGACCCAGCUGGGUUUUAACUUCAAAGUUUGCUACUCUGCUAGCUCUGGCUCUGGAGCUGCUGCUGCUGCCGCUGCCGCUGCUUCUUCUUCUUCAAGAAAAAAGUAAAAAAAAAGGGGUGGGUUUUUGCUUGCUUGGUAUUUGUGUUUGUCUAGUUACUAGUACAAGAAAGAAAGAGAGGAACAGAUAGAGGCAGCUGCAGAAGCCGCAGAGGGGGCACGGAUGAGAUCAUAAAAGAUCUUUUAAUCUCCUGUCUGACCCCAAACACUGUCACUCUUAUCAGUGGCGUCAAGACCUUCCAAUAGGCCAAAUAAAGUAUUCCCGUUUUCUUCCAUUUUCUAUUUUCCAUUCCCCCCCUCUCCCCCCACUCUAUAUAUUUACUUCCCUUCCAAGCACCUCUCUCUCUCUCUCUCUCUGGAAGACCCCCAAAAUAUGAAUAUGAAAGAAUUGGAGGAAAUCCAGUGGAACAACCCUUGUUGAGAAGUUUUGGGGUAUUACCCCCCAUAUAUCCCCAAUUUGUCUGUGUAAAUUUUGGUUAUAGAACCUAGUAGGUCUGAAAAGGAGGAGGAAGAGGAGGAGGAGAAGAAGAAGAAGAAUAGAAUAGAAUAGAAAAGAGAGAUGAGUUAGGGCUGGGUGGUGUGGGUUAGGCUUUUCAGGGGGCUGGCUAGGUUUGGAUUUCAAGAUCAGGGGAUGGAAUUUGGAGGGUUGAAUGGCAGGGCCUUUUGGGAGAGGCAGAGGCAGAAGCGCAACAAGUUUCAGGUUUCACAGUGCUGGCAGCAGCAAAGGGCGAGCCUUGUGGAAACGACUCACUAAAGCUGGAACAGGAAAAGCAAAACAAGGGUCUGACUCUGGAUCCUCGGAGAAAUCAUCACCAUCUUCAUCUUCAUCCCCAACAUCAACAUCCGAACCAGAACCAGAACCAGAACCAGAACCAAGUCCAUGUAGAAGAGGAAGAGGAGCCAGAACUGUUGUUUGGGAGAUUGGAUUCACAAAAUCAGCAGCCACCAAAGAAACGCCCUUUUUUGCCGUCGUUUUCUUCCGCGGGGCAAAACGUCGAACAUGUGCGAGGCAGAAUGGGAGAUACUCACCACCAGACAACCUCGUCAAGACUGGGCCUGAGGCACGCCGCCGCCGGCGAGAUCGUCGAAGUCCAAGGCGGCCACAUUGUGCGCUCUACCGGCCGGAAAGACCGCCACAGCAAGGUCUGCACCGCGAAGGGGCCGAGGGACCGACGCGUCCGGCUCUCGGCUCACACCGCCAUUCAGUUCUACGACGUCCAGGACCGACUUGGCUACGACCGCCCCAGCAAGGCCGUCGACUGGCUCAUUAAAAAGGCCAGGGCCGCCAUCGACGAGCUUGACGAGCUGCCUCCGUGGCAGCCGACGACCACGACGAAUGCCAAUCUCGAGCAGGAACAACCACCGCCUCAGUCCAACCAGUUUGCCGGCGGCUCGUCCUCGACGAAUCCUAUGAUGGGCGAGGAGAUUCAGAACCAGCUCAGCGAGAACAGCGCCAGCUUCUUGCCGCCGUCGUUGGACUCCGACGCCAUAGCCGAUACAAUCAAGUCGUUCUUCCCGAUGGGCGCUAAUUCGGGGGAGCCGAAUUCCUCGGCUAUGCAGUUCCACAGCUUCGCGCCGAGCCAGAGCCAAGAUCUGAGGCUCUCGCUUCAAUCCUUUCCGGACCCGAUUCUUCUCCACCACCACCACCACCAGCAGCAGCAGCAGCAGCAACAACAGAGCGCAACGCAUCAUCACGCUGAGAACCGAACCAUUUUCUCUGGACCCGCCCCGCUGGGUUACGACGGGUCGGGCUGGCCCGAGCACCAGGCCGCGGAGAUCGGGCGGAUCCAGAGAAUGGUCGCGUGGAACGGCGGUGGAGACGCCGGUAUUGGCGGCGGCGGCGGAUUCCUCUUCAACUCGCCGCCUCCGCCGUCAUUAAUCAGCCAAAACCAGUUUUUUUCACAGAGGGGACCCCUUCAGUCCAGUAACACCCAGUCUGUUCGUGCUUGGAUAGACCCGUCUUCCAUUGCCGCCGCCACCCACCAAAACCUUUCGCUUCCCAUCUAUCCAUCAUCGCUUCCGGGGAUUGGCUUUGCCUCCGUCGGCGGCGGGUUUCACAUUCCAGCACGAAUUCAGGGUGAAGAAGAGGAGCACGACGGUGUUUCCGACAAGCCGUCCUCUGCUUCCUCUGAUUCUCGCCAUUGAUUGACCUCUAGACCUUCCUUUUGCCUCCCUCCCUCUCUCUCAGGUCAGCCCUUCAAUACACCCGUCGAUCAUCGCUCUAAUACCACUUAUUAGGAUUCGUCCUUCUUGUUGGGGAAACAACUCCGAUUCAAUUCAUACUUAACAAGUGGGAUUGGAGCUGACUGAUUACCCAACAAACGGGCUUCAUCCAUUCUCGACUGCAGCAGCCCAGAAUUCUCAAGAGUUAUAUGGUACUUAACACUUCUACGGGCCAUCAAAUCGGGGAUCGAGACAAACACAGAGAGGAGGGAGAUGCAUUUUGGUCAGUCUAGUCAGUUCAAUGAUGGCGGCAACUACACUGGGAAGAAGAAAUCUGAUUGAAAUUCAGGUUUUUUAAUCCCGGUUUUCGAUUAUGUUUUCAUUGCAUAUGUUCUACUUGGCUGUGUAAGUGUGCUCUUUGAGCUCAACUUUGUAAUUCUAUGUUGGUUUGCUAGAACUUCUAUGUUGCACUGUUUCUAGAUUGUCCUGUUUGAAACUCUACUAAAAGAGAACUUAUUUAUUCUCA
This is an RNA transcript of Diospyros lotus (date-plum), 2832 nucleotides long. It is a transcript of the gene named transcription factor TCP4-like, with no coding region annotated. The record is from RefSeq and is a predicted model, not a curated record. NCBI's taxonomy places the organism in Eukaryota, Viridiplantae, Streptophyta, Magnoliopsida, Ericales, Ebenaceae. The transcript is spliced from 2 exons.